GCAGCCGCGGUAAUUCCAGCUCCAAUAGCGUAUAUUAAUGUUGUUGCAGUUAAAAAGCUCGUAGCCGACUCUCGGGGCGGUUGCAACGGUCCGCAGAAAUGUGAGCACUGUCGUAGCCGCCUCUUCCUUCUGGACACGUUGUUUUCUCUUCACUGAGCGAGCAGCGGGGCCAGAUCGUUCACUUUGAACAAAUUAGAGUGUUCAAAGCAGGCCUCCGCCUGAAUACUUGAGCAUGGAAUGAUAUCAAUAGGUCCUCUUUCCUCGUUUAUUGGUGAUGAGGAGAGAGGAAAUGAGAAAGGGGAAUGGUUGGGGCCAUUCGUACUGCAGCGUUAGAGGUGAAAUUCUUGGAUCGCUGCAAGACGAACAACAGCGAAAGCAUUUGGCAAGAACGUUUCCACCGGUCAAGAACGAAAGUUAAGGGAUCGAAGACGAUCAGAUACCGUCGUAGUCUUAACCAUAAACUAUGCCGACUAGAGAUCGGUGGAUGUUAUCUUAUGACUCCAUCAGCAUCUUAUGAGAAAUCAAAGUCUUUGGGUUCCGGGGGGAGUAUGGUCGCAAGGCUGAAACUUAAAGGAAUUGACGGAAGGGCACCACCAGGAGUGGAGCCUGCGGCUUAAUUUGACUCAACACGGGGAAACUUACCAGGUCCAGACAUAGUAAGGAUUGACAGGUUGAGAGCCCUUUCUUGAUUCUAUGGGUGGUGGUGCAUGGGCCGUUCUUAGUUGGUGGAGUGAUUUGUCUGGUUAAUUCCGUUAACGAACGAGACCUUAACCUGCUAAAUAGUUGCACGGAUUACCGAUCCGUGAUGGCUUCUUAGAGGGACUAUCGGUGUCUAAUCGAUGGAAGUUUGAGGCAAUAACAGGUCUGUGAUGCCAAUGACCGAAGUCGCGGCCGC
This 895-nucleotide ribosomal RNA is filed under the name uncultured eukaryote. RNAcentral describes it as "SSU rRNA". It matches the Rfam family "Eukaryotic small subunit ribosomal RNA", at positions 570 to 1490 of the family's 1831-position model. The record is from RNAcentral.